This is a non-coding RNA of Procambarus clarkii (red swamp crayfish), 307 nucleotides long. NCBI's taxonomy places the organism in Eukaryota, Metazoa, Arthropoda, Malacostraca, Decapoda, Cambaridae. The record is from RefSeq and is a predicted model, not a curated record.
AUCGCUCCAACGCUCAGCGCCCAUAAUUUGCUCAACUUCCCAGCUCCAUCGCAGCUAAAGUUGAGACUUCAAAGGCCAAAAAAAUGUCCAGAGUACCAAAGACAUCAUCCACCUGUAAAAGAAAAAUAAUGAGUGUCCCUGUUCGAUAUACUAACACCUACCAAUAAUUUUCACUUUAGUUGUGGGAAGCUGCUGCUCCUAGAUGCAAUCCACUGAAGACUCCAAAAGAUCAUCAAGGCCAGGGAAAACUCCAGAGUACCAAGGAAAUCAUCCACCUGUAAAAGAAAAAUAAAGUAUAUCAAACAGG